UGGCUAUGAACCGGUAAGAGGGCUCUCACCGGAAUGUGACCAUGCUCCUGCCUUGAUCUUAGAGUCCCCAGCCUCCAGACUGUGAGAAAUAACUUUCUGUAGUCUAGAAACCAUCUAGUCUAAGAACAAGAGACUAAAAUACAUCAAAUCAGUGUGUUGCUUGAAGCUGGCAAGGCUAACAGUUGCUUAGAAACUGCUUUGAAGCCCUAAGGACCACCUGAUGGGACAAUUAACAAACAGCUCCUUGGAGUGAGGGCCACAGCUGCAAAUAAUCUAAUUUGUUGAGCUGCUUCUGGA
Molecule: long non-coding RNA, 297 nt
Organism: Orcinus orca (killer whale)
Lineage: Eukaryota; Metazoa; Chordata; Mammalia; Artiodactyla; Delphinidae
Exons: 3
Source: RefSeq, a predicted model, not a curated record